RNAcentral lists this ribosomal RNA (504 nucleotides) under uncultured bacterium. Its description in RNAcentral is "partial 16S ribosomal RNA". It matches the Rfam family "Bacterial small subunit ribosomal RNA", at positions 29 to 523 of the family's 1533-position model. The record is from RNAcentral.
AUUGAACGCUGGCGGCAGGCCUAACACAUGCAAGUCGGACGGUAGCACAGAGAGCCUGCUCUUGGGUGACGAGUGGCGGACGGGUGAGUAAUGUCUGGGGAUCUGCCCGAUAGAGGGGGAUAACCACUGGAAACGGUGGCUAAUACCGCAUAACGUCGCAAGACCAAAGAGGGGGACCUUCGGGCCUCUCACUAUCGGAUGAACCCAGAUGGGAUUAGCUAGUAGGCGGGGUAAUGGCCCACCUAGGCGACGAUCCCUAGCUGGUCUGAGAGGAUGACCAGCCACACUGGAACUGAGACACAGUCCAGGCUCCUACGGGAGGCAGCAGUGGGGAAUAUUGCACAAUGGGCGCAAGCCUGAUGCAGCCAUGCCGCGUGUAUGAAGAAGGCCUUCGGGUUGUAAAGUACUUUCAGCGGGGAGGAAGGCGGUGAGGUUAAUAACCUUGCCGAUUGACGUUACCCGCAGAAGAAGCACCGGCUAACUCCGUGCCAGCAGCCGCCGUAA